This 1274-nucleotide long non-coding RNA is filed under the name Medicago truncatula (barrel medic). RNAcentral's name for it is "long non-coding RNA (MTRU_LNC006698)". The record is from RNAcentral. Lineage: Eukaryota; Viridiplantae; Streptophyta; Magnoliopsida; Fabales; Fabaceae.
UCCAAAAAUAAAAAAUAAUCAAUUUCAAAACCCAUAAAAGAUUUUCUCAAUCAUAACAAAUCUUCCACAACACAAUUUCAUAAAGCCAUUAAAAAAAGCCAUUUUUUUCAAAAAAAAUAAAUUUUGCGAAGAGAAGAACCAGAAUCCAUCUUCCUGAACAUAAUCAAAGUGCUGAAUAUUUUUAUGCUUCCUCAACAAAAUUCAUCUCCCAAAAAAUCAUCCAUUUUUAUGUUUCAGCUACAACAAAAUUCCUCAUCAUCUGCACCAACAGAAUCUACACCAUCAUUCAUCUUCCUUAACAAUCCAGAGAGAACAAUCAAAGCCAAAAAUCAUAAAUUACUUUAAGUUUAUAGUAGCAAAACCAUAUCUAAUAACUCAAUUUACUUCACUGCAACAACACCAUAAUAACAAAAUUAAAUAGAAAUUGAAACAACAUUGCUAUGAAAUUGCAUAAUUCAAAUUGGAAAAAAUGAAACCCUAAACAAUGGUAACUUGGUCACCUGAAACUUCAAUGGUAAUCGCCGCAAUUCUCGUGAUACUGGGAACUUCUUCAACCACAACAUCGAUUUCAAUCUUUUCCUCGACGACGGAAACUUCAACGGUGGGAGAUGGACGACGGCGACAUUGAGACGGACGACGGCGUGUUCGAUCCAUUAAUGGGUAUGAAGCUACAAAACAAGAAUCAAUCAAACACCUCUCAAGCUUAAUUCACGUGGCUGAUUUCCACAUAACAUUGAUUGCAAUUUUUGAGUGUGUGAGCCUCCUGAUUGCAAUUUUUGGUGAUUCCAUUUCUUGCUAUUUGCCAUGGAGGAGAAAGAAGAUAAAGCGAGGUCUUGGUUUUAAGAUCAAUAUGUAGCUGCAAAGAAUUCAGAUCUAAAAAAAAAAUCAAUAUGUUGUUGGUUUCCUGAGUUGUUGAGAAGGGUUUGUGUGAAUCAAUUCAUUGAAUUGGGGUUUGUGUAAAUGCAAUUUAUUUUUGGGUUUUUUCUGUUUUUUUUUUCUUUUCUGGAUUUCAGUUUUGGAUGAAUAUAUGAAUGAUUAAUUUUUUGGUGAUGAAUUGAUUUUCAUUUUUGGGUGUAAAAUUAAUUUUUAUUUUAUGAUUGAUUUUCUGGAUAUGUUGAAGAUGAUGAAGGAGAUGGAUGAAGAAGAUGAAGAAAAUGAAAAAAAUAGUUGUUGAUGAAGAAGAUGACGAAGGAUUUGGUGUUGGUGGUUCACCGUUACAUACAAUGGUCCUACAAUCUAAUGGCUGAAAUCAUAUCUCAAAUAUUCCCUUAACG